This 327-nucleotide ribosomal RNA is filed under the name Triticum aestivum (bread wheat). RNAcentral describes it as "partial small subunit ribosomal RNA". Lineage: Eukaryota; Viridiplantae; Streptophyta; Magnoliopsida; Poales; Poaceae. The record is from RNAcentral.
AUGUGUUUGUGUGAUGUUUUUUUGAAUCUCUUGCAGACUGGGGUGUGCAGUACUUCCACAGGUGCCACGGAUCCGGAGCCUGAUGUUGCUGCUGAAGAGCAGAGCGAUCAAGCUCCCCCAAAGGGACAUCUAGAGGUCCUUACUCAUCAGGUGCACAUGAGUGUUCUGGGCGACAUGGUCUCCUUUUCGGCAUGUGCAAGUGUCGGGUGGUGCUUGCCUACAUGGUUUACGGCAAGCUGCAGUUCAGGUGGGCGCUCCAGCUCUCCCUUCUCAUGCUAUACAUCCAGGAGCUCCAGGCCUAAGAAAGUUGGAAGUGCGAAGACGUGA